Hibiscus syriacus is the source of this 288-nucleotide long non-coding RNA. RefSeq lists it as uncharacterized. NCBI's taxonomy places the organism in Eukaryota, Viridiplantae, Streptophyta, Magnoliopsida, Malvales, Malvaceae. The transcript has 3 exons. The record is from RefSeq and is a predicted model, not a curated record.
UUUUAGAUAUUACUUAGUAUUGGACCGACUUUUGCUAUUAUGAACCUCUUAGAGAGUUGUUUGGAUGUCCUUCUUAUGUUUGGUGCUUACACCACUGCAAGAGGCAUGGCUAUUUCCAGGCUGGUUAUACGAUUCUUUGGUGUGGCCUGACCUCUGUAUUUGUGACCUAUGGUUAUGUAAAGGUUUUGGAGGAAAUGAAUGAUCAGACAGCAAUUCCUUAUAUUUCGGAUAUAUAUACUUGUGCUGGGUGUUUUGCAGCCUUGCGGUUGGUUCUUGGCUUGUUACUAA